Small nuclear RNA from Cercocebus atys (sooty mangabey), 107 nucleotides. Lineage: Eukaryota; Metazoa; Chordata; Mammalia; Primates; Cercopithecidae. The record is from Ensembl.
UUGCUUGCUUUGAAAGCACAUAUACUAAAAUUAGAACAAUACAGAGAAGAUUAGCAUGGUCCCUGCACAAGGAUAACACGCGAAUUUGUGAAGCAUUCCAUAUUUUU